This 404-nucleotide ribosomal RNA is filed under the name Actinomycetes bacterium. RNAcentral describes it as "Actinobacteria bacterium partial 16S ribosomal RNA". It matches the Rfam family "Bacterial small subunit ribosomal RNA", at positions 355 to 776 of the family's 1533-position model. The record is from RNAcentral. Lineage: Bacteria; Bacillati; Actinomycetota; Actinomycetes.
UGGGGAAUAUUGGACAAUGUGCGCAAGCCUGAUCCAGCCAUGCCGCGUGAGUGAUGAAGGCCCUAGGGUUGUAAAGCUCUUUCACCGGUGAAGAUAAUGACGGUAACCGGAGAAGAAGCCCCGGCUAACUUCGUGCCAGCAGCCGCGGUAAUACGAAGGGGGCUAGCGUUGUUCGGAUUUACUGGGCGUAAAGCGCACGUAGGCGGACUUUUAAGUCAGGGGUGAAAUCCCGGGGCUCAACCCCGGAACUGCCUUUGAUACUGGAAGUCUUGAGUAUGGUAGAGGUGAGUGGAAUUCCGAGUGUAGAGGUGAAAUUCGUAGAUAUUCGGAGGAACACCAGUGGCGAAGGCGGCUCACUGGACAAUUACUGACGCUGAGGUGCGAAAGCGUGGGGAGCAAACAGG